GAGGGGCAAGCGUUAUCGGAAUUAUUGGGCGUAAAGGGCGCGUAGGCGGCUUUGCAAGUGGCGGGUGAAAUCCCUCGGCUUAACCGAGGAACCGCCUGCCAGACUGUGAGGCUUGAGACCGGGAGAGGUGAGUGGAAUUCCCAGUGUAGCGGUGAAAUGCGUAGAUAUUGGGAGGAACACCAGUGGCGAAGGCGGCUCACUGGACCGGAACUGACGCUGAGGCGCGAAAGCGUGGGGAGCAAACAGGAUUAGAUACCCUGGUAGUCCACGCCGUAAACGAUGAGUGCUUGGUGUAGCGGGUAUCGACCCCUGCUGUGCCGACGUCAACACAUUAAGCACUCCGCCUGGGGAGUACGGUCGCAAGACUG
RNAcentral lists this ribosomal RNA (368 nucleotides) under uncultured organism. RNAcentral's name for it is "bacterial SSU rRNA". It matches the Rfam family "Bacterial small subunit ribosomal RNA", at positions 529 to 896 of the family's 1533-position model. The record is from RNAcentral.